AUGGGAGACUUGAACGAAAUCUUGUACUCCUUUGAGAAGGAAGGGGGCAAUCCAAGGCCCCAACGUUUCCUGAAAAUGUUUCGUGAUGCAUUAUAUGCUUGUAAUCUCGAGGAUUUUGGUUUUAUUGGUGACAAGUUUACUUGGAAAAGAGGUAAGAUUAGGGAGAGGCUGGAUAGGACCUUGACGAAUGAGACAUGGAACAAUAAGUUCGCUGAUGCAAUAUUGACAAACCUUGAAUAUAACAAGUCUGACCAUCUUCCUAUACUC
Molecule: ribosomal RNA, 267 nt
Filed under: Triticum aestivum (bread wheat)
Lineage: Eukaryota; Viridiplantae; Streptophyta; Magnoliopsida; Poales; Poaceae
Description: partial small subunit ribosomal RNA
Source: RNAcentral